RNAcentral lists this ribosomal RNA (468 nucleotides) under uncultured bacterium. Its description in RNAcentral is "partial 16S ribosomal RNA". It matches the Rfam family "Bacterial small subunit ribosomal RNA", at positions 28 to 507 of the family's 1533-position model. The record is from RNAcentral.
GAUGAACGCUGGCGGCGUGCUUAACACAUGCAAGUCGAACGGAAAGGCCCUGCUUUUGUGGGGUUCUCGAGUGGCGAACGGGUGAGUAACACGUGAGUAACCUGCCCUUGACUUUGGGAUAACUUCAGGAAACUGGGGCUAAUACCGGAUAGGAGCUCCUGCUGCAUGGUGGGGGUUGGAAAGUUUCGGCGGUUGGGGAUGGACUCGCGGCUUAUCAGCUUGUUGGUGGGGUAGUGGCUUACCAAGGCUUUGACGGGUAGCCGGCCUGAGAGGGUGACCGGCCACAUUGGGACUGAGAUACGGCCCAGACUCCUACGGGAGGCAGCAGUGGGGAAUAUGGCACAAUGGGCGGAAGCCUGAUGCAGCAACGCCGCGUGCGGGAUGACGGCCUUCGGGUUGUAAACCGCUUUCGCCUGUGACGAAGCGUGAGUGACGGUAAUGGGUAAAGAAGCACCGGCUAACUACGUG